RNAcentral lists this ribosomal RNA (497 nucleotides) under uncultured bacterium. RNAcentral's name for it is "partial 16S ribosomal RNA". It matches the Rfam family "Bacterial small subunit ribosomal RNA", at positions 28 to 507 of the family's 1533-position model. The record is from RNAcentral.
GAUGAACGCUGGCGGCGUGCCUAAUACAUGCAAGUCGAGCGAACAGACGAGGAGCUUGCUCCUCUGACGUUAGCGGCGGACGGGUGAGUAACACGUGGAUAACCUACCUAUAAGACUGGGAUAACUUCGGGAAACCGGAGCUAAUACCGGAUAAUAUAUUGAACCGCAUGGUUCAAUAGUGAAAGACGGUUUUGCUGUCACUUAUAGAUGGAUCCGCGCCGCAUUAUCUAGUUGGUAAGGUAACGGCUUACCAAGGCAACGAUGCGUAGCCGACCUGAGAGGGUGAUCGGCCACACUGGAACUGAGACACGGUCAAGACUCCUACGGGAGGCAGCAGUAGGGAAUCUUACGCAAUGGGCGAAAGCCUGACGGAGCAACGCCGCGUGAGUGAUGAAGGUCUUCGGAUCGUAAAACUCUGUUAUUAGGGAAGAACAAAUGUGUAAGUAACUAUGCACGUCUUGACGGUACCUACUCAGAAAGCCACGGCUAACUACGUG